AGAGUUUGAUCCUGGCUCAGGAUGAACGCUAGCGGCAGGCCUAACACAUGCAAGUCGAACGAGAAAGUCACUUCGGUGGUGAUUAAAGUGGCGCACGGGUGAGUAACGCGUAGACAAUCUGCCCUUCAGUCUGGGACAACUUUUCGAAAGGAGAGCUAAUACCGGAUAACAAUGUUUGACAUAAGUUAAAUAUUUGAAAGCUUUAUGUGCUGAAGGAUGGGUCUGCGUCCCAUUAGCUAGUUGGUGAGGUAAAGGCUUACCAAGGCAACGAUGGGUAGCGGGUUUGAGAGGACGAUCCGUCACACUGGAACUGAGACACGGUCCAGACUCCUACGGGAGGCAGCAGUGGGGAAUAUUGCACAAUGGAGGAAACUCUGAUGCAGCAAUGUCGCGUGAGUGAAGAAGGCCCUUGGGUCGUAAAGCUCUUUUAUGGGGGAAGAUGAUGACGGUACCCCAGGAAUAAGCACCGGCUAACUACGUGCCAGCAGCCGCGGUAAUACGUAGGGUGCGAGCGUUGUUCGGAAUUACUGGGCGUAAAGGGCGCGCAGGCGGAAUAGCAAGUCGGAGGUGAAAGCCCGGGGCUCAACCCCGGAGGGUCUUUCGAAACUGCUGAUCUAGAGAGGGUCAGGGGCCAGCAGAAUUCCUGGUGUAGAGGUGAAAUUCGUAGAUAUUAGAAAGAAUACCAGUGGCGAAGGCGACUAUCUGGGCCAACAUUGACGCUGAGGUGCGAAAGCGUGGGUAGCAAACAGGAUUAGAUACCCUGGUAGUCCACGCAGUAAACGAUGAGUGCUAGUCGCUGGAUCUUAUGAUUCGGUGUCUAAGCUAACGCAUUAAGCACUCCGCCUGGGAAGUACGGUCGCAAGAUUAAAACUCAAAUGAAUUGACGGGGGCCCGCACAAGCGGUGGAGCAUGUGGUUUAAUUCGAAGCAACGCGAAGAACCUUACCAGUCCUUGACAUGGUGUGUUUGAGUUACAGUACCGUAACUCUUCAGUUCGGCUGGCACACACACAGGUGCUGCAUGGCUGUCGUCAGCUCGUGUCGUGAGAUGUUGGGUUAAGUCCCGCAACGAGCGCAACCCUCAUUUUUAGUUGCCAUCAGGUUAUGCUGGGCACUCUAAAAAAACUGCCGGUGAUAAGCUGGAGGAAGGCGGGGAUGACGUCAAGUCCUCAUGGCCCUUACGGGCUGGGCUACACACGUGCUACAAUGGUGGUGACAGUGGGAAGCAAUUUCGCAAGAAUGCGCAAAUCUCCAAAAACCAUCUCAGUUCGGAUUGGGCUCUGCAACUCGAGUCCAUGAAGUUGGAAUCGCUAGUAAUCGUAGAUCAGCACGCCGCGGUGAAUACGUUCCCGGGCCUUGUACACACCGCCCGUCACACCAUGGGAGCCGACAAGGGCAGAAGUCGCCGAGCUAACCUUCGGGAAGCAGGCGCCCAAGCUGUUGUUGACGACUGGGGUGAAGUCGUAACAAGGUAACC
RNAcentral lists this ribosomal RNA (1475 nucleotides) under uncultured bacterium. RNAcentral's name for it is "partial 16S ribosomal RNA". It matches the Rfam family "Bacterial small subunit ribosomal RNA". The record is from RNAcentral.